UACGUAGGGUGCGAGCGUUAAUCGGAAUUACUGGGCGUAAAGCGUGCGCAGGCGGUUGUGCAAGACAGAUGUGAAAUCCCCGGGCUCAACCUGGGAACUGCAUUUGUGACUGCACGGCUAGAGUACGGCAGAGGGGGAUGGAAUUCCGCGUGUAGCAGUGAAAUGCGUAGAUAUCAGGAGGAAUACCGAUGGCGAAGGCAGGUCUCUGGGCUGACACUGACGCUCAUGCACGAAAGCGUGGGGAGCAAACAGG
RNAcentral lists this ribosomal RNA (253 nucleotides) under uncultured bacterium. RNAcentral describes it as "partial 16S ribosomal RNA". It matches the Rfam family "Bacterial small subunit ribosomal RNA", at positions 524 to 776 of the family's 1533-position model. The record is from RNAcentral.